UUUGGAAGAUGUCGCAAGAUAUAGCGAGAUAUCUUUUAGAAAUAUAAAAGAUAUCUUUUUGUCUAUCUGGGUAAUGGUCAUCAUCUCUUCGACCAUGGAAUCCUCGCAGCUCGAGUAUUUGUUGACCUGCGAGACGGCAGCCGAAAUGUGGAAUAAACUUACCGCGGUUCAUGAACAAAAAAGUGAGUCGAAUAAAUUACUCUUAAUGACGAGAUUUCACGAUUACAAGAUGGCGUCGAACGAUAACAUGGCACAACACAUUGCGAAGAUAGAAAAUAUGGCGCGGCAGUUAAAAGAUGUCGGUGAAAACAUGUCGGACAUUAACGAUCAUGGCCAAAAUCCUAAAAAGCCUUCCCGCGAAAUUCAGUGCACUAGUCACAGCAUGAGACAGUGUCGACUCGAAUAAUCAAACGCUCGUGAAUCUAACACAACGUCUAAUCAAAGAAGAAGGAAGAAUACACGCGGCAGACGAAGCAGGUGGCGCGCUCGCCGUCAUAAGUGUAAAUUCCAACAAAGAGAAGCAAAAGGCAAAAAAGAAUACACAACGCCCUAGAAAGGAGGUGACAUGUUUCUAUUGUCAAAAACGCGGCCACAUCGCAAAGGAAUGUCAUAAGAAGAAGAGAGAUGCAAGUUAUCGAGAUAAUACUGAGAAAAAAAAGGAAGAGACGAUGCAUUUAAUGUCAGUGCAUUCACAGUCGAAGCACAUGCAAACCAACUUAUGAACGUGACGACGAAGAACGUGUGGCUUCUCGACAGCGGCGCCUCAAAGCAUAUGACAUUCCGUCAUGAUUGGUUUUCAGAACUACAGUCCUAUGAAAACGACUACGUUUCGCUUGGCGAUGGAACCACAUAUAAGAUAAUGGGUCACGGUACUAUACACAUUAAAAGACUCAUAGGCAAAACAUGGCUUAAAGGUACAACAUAGAAGUGAUGCAAAUCUGGUGGCUACUCCAAACUUGAAACGCUGGCACGAGCGUUUAGGCCACGUUAACUAUAGGUAUAUACAUCAGUUCUGCAAGGAAGUCUAAUUGACGAAAACAUAGAAGACAACAGCAGCGAUAAAGAUAUCUUUUGUGAAGCCUGCCAAUAUGGGAAGCAACACCAUAUGCCCUUCAAUAGAGCUGCAAAAAGGAAUCUUCUACCGGAAAAUUUAUUUAUAGCGACGUUUGUGGUCCAAUGUCUCAAAAUUUUAUAGGAGGUUCCAGAUUCUUUUUUCAGAGAAGAGUCAAAACACUACGUGUGGACAACGGCAGAGAAUACUGUAACGAGCAGAUAUUGAGAUACUUGUGCGCAAAAUUAAUAUGGAGGGAUUAAUAUGAAGACUAUACGCCCUAUACGCCAGAGCAAAAUGGACGGGCAGAGAGAGAUAAUAGGUCUUUAGUAGAAAGCGCUCGAGCCAUGUUGCAUGCCAAGGACCUGUCUAUUCAAUUGUAAGCUGAAGGAGUCAACACCGCCUGCUACAUAUUAAACCGGACACCGACGUCGUGUAACCAAGGUAAAACUUCUUAUGAAGUGUAGACAGAAAAAAGGUCACGUCUGGAUCACAUUAAAGUGUUCGGAUCAGUGGCAUAUGUUCAUGUUUCCACGAAAUUGAGAAAGAAAUGAGACAGGAAAUCUCAGAAGAUGAUAUUAAUUGGAUAUCAAGCCGAUUCCUGUAACUACAGAUUGUACGAUCCGCAUUCACGAAUUACGUUAUCCAGAGAUGUUAUUGUGCACGAGACAAAUGAUCAUUAAAGAACAGAGUCAAACAAUGAGGUACAAAUUCUAAUUGAUACGAAAACAUUGAUUCAAGAAGAAGAAAUCAAGCGAGAUCCUCGAGAAAAAGAUGACACAAUCCAGAAUCACGAAGAGGAAAAAGAUAGUACACAAAAUGACACUCGAAUCCUUAGAGACAGAAGUACACUUAAACCACCGAAUCGCUAUGAGGCAAAUAUAAUAGAGCAUGAUGAACCUACAUCAUAUGAAGAAGCGAUAACUGGAGAAGAUGCUGAGAAUUGGAAGACAGCAAUUAAUGAGGAGCUCAAAGCACACGAGACAAACAAUAACACCGUUAUAAAGCUCGACUUUGCGCCAAAGGAUUUACACAGAAGCACGGAAUCGAUUAUCACGAAAUAUUUUCGCCUGUAGCGCGAUACGACACUAUACGGACAAUGUUGGCAGUUGCAGCGAAGCAGAAUUUGGAAAUAGCGCAAUUCGAUGUAAAGACGGCGUUUCUCAAUGGCGAUUUAACUGAAGAAAUUUAUAUGAAGAUACCCCAAGGAAUUAAAGCACCAUCCGAUGGUAUAGUAUGUAAAUUACAAAAGACUCUUUAUGGACUUAAACAAGCAUUGCGAGAAUGGAACAGUAAAUUCGAUUCAUUUUUUAAACACUACCAAUUUGUACCAAGUAAAGCGGAUCCAUAUUUAUAUAUUGGUAAAUUCAAAUCGGACAAUGUAUACUUGAUCAUAUAUGUGGUUUGAUCUUAGCAACGUCAAAGCAAAUUUUGGACAAGAUAAUGAGUGAGUUAAAUUAAACUUUGACGUUACAGAAGGAAAUGUUAAUUAUUAUGUUGGUAUAGAGAUGAUUCGAGAUAGAGAAGCUAAAACAAUUUUUAUAUAUCAAUCAUCCUAUAUCGAGCGUGUUCUUGAACGCUUUAAUAUGUUAGAUGCGAAAAUUAAAGAGACUCCAGCUGAUUUAGGGAUGAGUUUAGUGUCGACGGGAGAUACUGACGAGCUUAACAACAUUCCAUAUUGACAAGCGAUUGGUAGUCUAAUGUUUCUUGCAAAUAUUACACGACGGAUAUUGCAUUUAUUGUAAAUUACUUAAUUGUAAGUCGUUUUGUUUCUAGCUAUAAUGAGCAACAUUGGCGAGCGGUAAAGAAUGUGUUCCGUUAUCUUAAAUAUACAGCUGAAAUGGGUAUUUUAUAUGAAAAUUCCACAGAAAACGCAUGUCCACAGGGAUAUUCAGACGCGGAUUAUGCGGGCAAUCUUGACACUAGGCGAUCUACGAGCGGUUACCUGUUUAGACUAGCUAAUGGAGUCAUAACCUGGAGAUCUUUACGUCAGAGAACUGUUUUAUUAAGUACCACCGAAGCGGAAUGUAUUGCGGCCUGUGAAUCAGUCAAGGAAGCCUUAUGCUUAAGCAGCUAAUGAGUAAUAUCGGAUAUCAAUGGGUGGAACCUCUGAUCAUUAAUAUGGAUAAUCAGAGUGCGAUCAAGUUAAUAAGAAACCCUGAGUUUCAUAAAAGAAGUAAACACAUCGAUAUCCAUUAUCACUUCAUUUGCGAACAAUUUAUGAGUAAAAUCAUCAAUGUUGAAUACGUGUCAAGUAAGGACCAAAUCGCGGAUAUUCUAACAAAAGUACUAAGUAAGGAUUUGUUUUGCAGCUUGCGCACUAAAAUGGGAAUGCGUAGGAUUAACAUAGACGCUUUCAAAAGACGGAAGUGUUAAGAAUGUCAGUUUAUCGAACGCCUAUCGAUAGUGACUCUCUCGGUCGAUACAUGUCGCGCGCAGUAAUACAGGAAAAAGGAAACCACUUGUGAAAUGAUACCAAACCCCUUUUUGUUAUUUUUGUAUAUAUGUUCGACAUUCCUCGUGCUUGCUGGUCGUCGUACAACACGUGAGCAGUCACAUCUUUUCAUUUUUCUUUUAAUCUAAAGUUCAAUUUUUAAUUUCUUAUCUUUUGCGUGUGGUAUGUCUAUGUACACUAACGUCGAAAGAGAAUAAAUAUUGUUUCCUAUA
Non-coding RNA from Nylanderia fulva, 3718 nucleotides. Lineage: Eukaryota; Metazoa; Arthropoda; Insecta; Hymenoptera; Formicidae. The record is from RefSeq and is a predicted model, not a curated record.